This 729-nucleotide long non-coding RNA is filed under the name Phasianus colchicus (ring-necked pheasant). Its description in RNAcentral is "lncRNA (ENSPCLG00000004431.1)". The record is from RNAcentral. Lineage: Eukaryota; Metazoa; Chordata; Aves; Galliformes; Phasianidae.
AUUUUAUUGCCCACGCCCACUUGUGAGCAUGCCGUCUCCCUCGGACAGAGGCAGCCAGGCAGCCUUAUACCGACUGCAUUUUCCAGUCCCAGGGAAAACCUCCACUCCACCCUCACAAGCUCAGAUCCUGAUCAGUCUCAAGAUAGAGCCUGCCAAGGGGUUGCCUCCCUUUGUUUCCAGCAUUAAGACUUUGUGAGCUUGGGAAACUGGUUCCUCCCCACCCCACCCCCCCAUCUGGAGGACCAGAGGGACACCAAGGAGGCCAGAACAGAGCUAUUCAGCACCACACAGUAAGGGGGAAGCAAGUCCAGGAUGAAGACGAACAAUCGGGGAUGCUGCUGCAGCAUGGGUAAAGGAAGAAAAGGAUUCACUAAUUUUUCAGAUGAAGAACAAACGGCAUGUUUCCCUCACAUUUCUUCUGAGGAGAGCAAAGCCAGCGUCUCCUCGGCCCUCAGCCUUCCACAGAAAUUCUGCAACCGGUUAAAAGUGACCAAUUUAAGUUGUGUUGGUGGGGUCAUGGUGGAAACUGUUGUCAUCAAUGAAGAAAUAUUUAAGCCGGGAAGGAAAGGACCUGUGAGAGUUUUUCAGACUGAAAACAUGAAAAGCCUCAUUCACCAACUUAAUUGUAUGGAUUCACCAAAACACACCAUGACAGCAAAAGAUCUCCUUCAGUUGCUGAAUUUCUUGCAAAGGAAGAAACAAUUCCUGCUCACAGGAAAUCCCAAUUGA